RNAcentral lists this ribosomal RNA (443 nucleotides) under Parasesarma bidens (red claw crab). Its description in RNAcentral is "partial 12S small subunit ribosomal RNA". Lineage: Eukaryota; Metazoa; Arthropoda; Malacostraca; Decapoda; Sesarmidae. The record is from RNAcentral.
AAAGGUAGAAUUUAAUUGUUAUUUUAUAUAAUAUUAAAUUUAAAUUGAAACUAUAAAGUCUAAUUAUAAACUAGGAUUAGAUACCCUAUUAUUUUAGAAAGAAAAAAUAAAAACUAAACUAUUAUUAGUUAUAUACUUUAAAAUUAAAAAAUUUGGCGGUGAUUUAAUCUUUUCAGAGGAAUUUGUUUUUUAAUCGAUAAUCCACGAAAAAUCUUACUUGAGUUUGUAUACCAUCAUUAUCAGAUAAUUCUAAAAAGAAAAAUUAUCAAAUAUAGUUAAUUAUUGAAAUUAGAUCAUGGUGCAGCUUAUAGACAAGUUAAAAUGAAUUACAAUAAAUUGUUUUAAAUGAAUUGAUAAUUAUGAAGGAGGAUUUGAUAGUAUAUAAUUUUAAUAAGUUUAUAAGACAAUGGCUCUAAAUCAUGUACAUAUCGCCCGUCGCUUUC